CCCCUCUCAGGAUGGCACCUGGAGAGUUUCUAGUACUCUACCGUUCUUGGCUAAGGGAGGAAGAGUCAGGCAGAGUCAUACUCAUUACAUUCCUAGCUUGGGCAGUGGCUGGAGAGUGGAAGGCAAUCUGCUACAAGC
Ornithorhynchus anatinus (platypus) is the source of this 138-nucleotide small nucleolar RNA. The record is from RefSeq and is a predicted model, not a curated record. NCBI's taxonomy places the organism in Eukaryota, Metazoa, Chordata, Mammalia, Monotremata, Ornithorhynchidae.